GCGCCACCCAGGUAGGUGCGCCUGCGCUUUGCGAGGUUCCUGGCUAGGGAGGCGGCCUUGGCUGGCUUGACCGUCAUCCUUGAGGCCUGCGGGGCAACGGUGGCUGUCCUUGGCCCGGCUUUGGAAUGUGGCUUUGCAGGGCUGGUGUUGGCGCCAUUCUCGCAGGCCCACGUGCUCCUGCUCUUCCAGGGUGUCCUCGGCUGUUUCUCCUGCCGCGGCGCAGCAGCGCUCCCAGGCUGCCCCCGCGAUAACACGCCCCUGGCAGCCAGGCUCCCAGCUCUGUUACGUGCCCGGGCGGGGAAGAGCUUCCUGGUGUCUCCCGGCUCCUGCCCUUCUCCCGCCCCAGGGGCGGGCUGCCGCCGCCCUCUGCAGCUGAGUCAGUGCAGUUCCUCACCUACCUUCUCUGCUCACCGCUGUGUGCUAGCAAUCGGAGGACCCUUGGCACACGGAGCGACAGGGGCCUCCCCCACAGACACCUCAUUUUGGGAAAGAAGCUGUACAGGAGGCAUGGCUGGGGAGGCCUCAGAAAACUUACAAUCAUGGCAGAAGGUGAAGGGGAAGCCAGCACAUCUUCAUAUGAUGGCAGGAACUUUAUAUGUUAUAGAAGUUAGCCCCAAGAAUGAAAUCGUGUCCUUUGCCAAAACAUGGAUGGAGCUAGAGGCCUUUAUCCUAAGUGAGUUAACGCAGGAACAGAAAGCCAAAUAGUGCAUGUUCUCACUGAUAAGUGGGAGCUAAACUAUGGGUUCACAAAGGCAUGCAGAGUGGUACUGUGGACAUUGGAGACUCAGAAUGGGGGAGGCUAGGAGGGAGGUAAGGGAUGAAAAAGUACCUGUUGGGUACAAUGUACACUACUUGGGUGACGAUGGGUCCACUAAAAUCCCAGAUUUAACCACUGUACAAUUCAUCCAUGUAACCAAAACCCACCUGUACCCCAAUGCUAUGAAAAUAAAUAAAACCAAAUUAGCUCUGUUUCUGUUAGAUGAGAUGCAAAUAUUUUCCCAAGUUUGUCCUUUGUCUUUUG
Molecule: long non-coding RNA, 1021 nt
Filed under: Homo sapiens (human)
Lineage: Eukaryota; Metazoa; Chordata; Mammalia; Primates; Hominidae
Description: LHRI_LNC1233.5
Source: RNAcentral